AGUGAACGCUGGCGGUAGGCCUAACACAUGCAAGUCGAACGGCAGCACAGAGGAGCUUGCUCCUUGGGUGGCGAGUGGCGGACGGGUGAGGAAUACAUCGGAAUCUACUCUGUCGUGGGGGAUAACGUAGGGAAACUUACGCUAAUACCGCAUACGACCUACGGGUGAAAGCAGGGGACCCUCGGGCCUUGCGCGAUUGAAUGAGCCGAUGUCGGAUUAGCUAGUUGGCGGGGUAAAGGCCCAACAAGGCAACGAUCCGUAGCUGGUCUGAGAGGAUGAUCAGCCACACUGGAACUGAGACACGGUCCAGACUCCUACGGGAGGCAGCAGUGGGGAAUAUUGGACAAUGGGCGCAAGCCUGAUCCAGCCAUACCGCGUGGGUGAAGAAGGCCUUCGGGUUGUAAAGCCCUUUUGUUGGGAAAGAAAUCCAGCUGGCUAAUACCCGGUUGGGAUGACGGUACCCAAAGAAUAAGCACCGGCUAACUUCGUGCCAGCCGCCGCCGUAA
This 506-nucleotide ribosomal RNA is filed under the name uncultured bacterium. RNAcentral describes it as "partial 16S ribosomal RNA". It matches the Rfam family "Bacterial small subunit ribosomal RNA", at positions 29 to 523 of the family's 1533-position model. The record is from RNAcentral.